This 518-nucleotide ribosomal RNA is filed under the name Dryadula phaetusa. Its description in RNAcentral is "partial 16S ribosomal RNA". The stretch from base 391 to 518 matches the Rfam family "Archaeal large subunit ribosomal RNA", at positions 2542 to 2670 of the family's 2987-position model. The record is from RNAcentral. Lineage: Eukaryota; Metazoa; Arthropoda; Insecta; Lepidoptera; Nymphalidae.
GUCUUUUUGAUUAAUAAUUUAAAGUUUAAUCUGCCCCCUGAUUAAAAAUUAAAGGGCUGCAGUAUAUUGACUGUACAAAGGUAGCAUAAUCAUUAGUCUUUUAAUUGAAGACUUGUAUGAAAGAUUUGAUGAAAUAUAAACUGUCUCUAAAUUAUUAAUAAAAAUUAAUUUUUUAAUUAAAAAGUUAAAAUAAAUUAAAAAGACGAGAAGACCCUAUAGAGUUUUAUAGUAAUAUAUUUUUUAUUAUUUGUAUAUAAAAUUAAUAAUAAAAAAUGUAUUAUUAUUUUAUUGGGGUGAUAGAAAAAUUUAAUUAACUUUUUUUAAAAAUUAUACAUAAAUAAAUGAAUAUUUGAUCCAUUAAUAAUGAUUAUAAGAAAAAAUUACCUUAGGGAUAACAGCGUAAUUUUUUUUUUUAGUACAAAUAAAAAAAAAAGGUUGCGACCUCGAUGUUGGAUUAAGAUAAAAUUUAAAUGCAAAAGUUUAAAAUUUUGAUCUGUUCGAUCAUUAAAAUCUUACAU